This 1346-nucleotide ribosomal RNA is filed under the name uncultured bacterium. Its description in RNAcentral is "partial 16S ribosomal RNA". It matches the Rfam family "Bacterial small subunit ribosomal RNA", at positions 28 to 1381 of the family's 1533-position model. The record is from RNAcentral.
GACGAACGCUGGCGGCGUGCUUAACACAUGCAAGUCGAACGGAAAGGCCCUGCUUUUGUGGGGUGCCCGAGUGGCGAACGGGUGAGUAACACGUGAGUAACCUGCCCUUGACUUUGGGAUAACUUCUGGAAACUGGGGCUAAUACCGGAUAGGAGCUCCUGCUGCAUGGUGGGGGUUGGAAAGUUUCGGCGGUUGGGGAUGGACUCGCGGCUUAUCAGCUUGUUGGUGGGGUAGUGGCUUACCAAGGCUUUGACGGGUAGCCGGCCUGAGAGGGUGACCGGCCACAUUGGGACUGAGAUACGGCCCAGACUCCUACGGGAGGCAGCAGUGGGGAAUAUUGCACAAUGGGCGGAAGCCUGAUGCAGCAACGCCGCGUGCGGGAUGACGGCCUUCGGGUUGUAAACCGCUUUCGCCUGUGACGAAGCGUGAGUGACGGUAAUGGGUAAAGAAGCACCGGCUAACUACGUGCCAGCAGCCGCGGUGAUACGUAGGGUGCGAGCGUUGUCCGGAUUUAUUGGGCGUAAAGGGCUCGUAGGUGGUUGAUCGCGUCGGAAGUGUAAUCUUGGGGCUUAACCCUGAGCGUGCUUUCGAUACGGGUUGACUUGAGGAAGGUAGGGGAGAAUGGAAUUCCUGGUGGAGCGGUGGAAUGCGCAGAUAUCAGGAGGAACACCAGUGGCGAAGGCGGUUCUCUGGGCCUUUCCUGACGCUGAGGAGCGAAAGCGUGGGGAGCGAACAGGCUUAGAUACCCUGGUAGUCCACGCUGUAAACGGUGGGUACUAGGUGUGGGGUCCAUUCCACGGGUUCCGUGCCGUAGCUAACGCUUUAAGUACCCCGCCUGGGGAGUACGGCCGCAAGGCUAAAACUCAAAGGAAUUGACGGGGCCCCGCACAAGCGGCGGAGCAUGCGGAUUAAUUCGAUGCAACGCGUAGAACCUUACCUGGGUUUGACAUGGAUCGGGAGUGCUCAGAGAUGGGUGUGCCUCUUUUGGGGUCGGUUCACAGGUGGUGCAUGGCUGUCGUCAGCUCGUGUCGUGAGAUGUUGGGUUAAGUCCCGCAACGAGCGCAACCCUUGUUCACUGUUGCCAGCACGUUAUGGUGGGGACUCAGUGGAGACCGCCGGGGUCAACUCGGAGGAAGGUGGGGAUGACGUCAAGUCAUCAUGCCCCUUAUGUCCGGGGCUUCACGCAUGCUACAAUGGCUGGUACAGAGAGUGGCGAGCCUGUGAGGGUGAGCGAAUCUCGGAAAGCCGGUCUCAGUUCGGAUUGGGGUCUGCAACUCGACCUCAUGAAGUCGGAGUCGCUAGUAAUCGCAGAUCAGCAACGCUGCGGUGAAUACGUUCCCGGGGCU